UACGUAGGGUGCAAGCGUUAAUCGGAAUUACUGGGCGUAAAGCGUGCGCAGGCGGUUUGUAAGUCUGUCGUGAAAGCCCCGGGCUCAACCUGGGAAUUGCGAUGGAGACUGCAAGGCUUGAAUCUGGCAGAGGGGGUAGAAUUCCACGUGUAGCAGUGAAAUGCGUAGAGAUGUGGAGGAACACCGAUGGCGAAGGCAGCCCCCUGGGUCAAGAUUGACGCUCAUGCACGAAAGCGUGGGGAGCAGACAGG
This 251-nucleotide ribosomal RNA is filed under the name uncultured bacterium. Its description in RNAcentral is "partial 16S ribosomal RNA". It matches the Rfam family "Bacterial small subunit ribosomal RNA", at positions 524 to 776 of the family's 1533-position model. The record is from RNAcentral.